UGGCGUCUGAGAGCAUUUCCCUGUUCUGGUUCGUUCCUUUUCUGCUUCUGCUUCUGCUUCUGCUUCUGCUUCUACUUCUGUUUGUCCCUGUGCAAAAAGUCUCGGCCCACUGCGUACUUGCCACUGAGCUACCAUGAUUUAUCUCCCUCGUGAUGACUCUGGGCAGAGUACGGCGGGGACCCUGAGGGCGAGGGUUUCGCCUUUUGUCAUUGUAGGGGCCAAAAGGAAGUCAAUCUCUUCCUAUGACGAUCUGCCUCCUUCGCCGCCACGGCUUCCCCUCGUCGGCAACCUUCAUCAGCUGGGCCCUUUCAUCCACAAGUCCCUCGCCGCCCUCUCCAGCCGCCACGGUCCUCUCAGCCACCUCCGCCUCGGCCGCGUCCCGACCCUCGUCGUCUCCUCCCCCGACGCUGCCCGGGAUGUCCUCCGCACCCACGAUCACAUAUGCGCCAGCCGCUCCUCCACCACCGUCACCCGCAUCCUCCUCGAUGGCUGCAGCGACAUGGCCUUCGCCCCCUACGGCGACGAGUGGAGGCAACGCCGCCGAAUCUGCACGCUCCACUUGCUGAGCCCUAAGAUGGUGCAGUCCUACGCUCUGAUCCGCGAGCAGGAGGUGGCCGCCAUGAUCUCCGCCAUCUGCUCCCGUGGAUCGGCGGCGGAGAUCGACAUGUCCGCCGUCCUGUUUGCCUUCUCCAACGACAUCCUGUGUCGGAUCGUCACGGGGAAGAAGUUCGAAGGGAGGAAAGGGUUGUUCUCGAAGCUCAUCUCAGAGAACUCGGUGCUGCUGGCCAAGAUUUAUCUCGGGGAUUACCUUCCGUGGCUCGGUUGGGUGGAUUGGUUGCUCGGCAACGUGGCGCGAGUGAAGAAGAACCAUAAGAGGUGGGACGAUCUGCUGGAUCAGGUUAUCAAGGAACAUGAAGAGCGAGUGUCGUCGGAUGAUGAGAAAGAUUUCGUGGAUGUUUUGAUCUCCCUUCAGAAGGAUCCCGUGUUGGAAUCCAUCCUCACUCCGGAAGUCAUCAAGGCGCUUCUUCAGGACAUGUUCGCCGCCGGAACAGAGACGUCAUACAUAACUCUGGAAUGGGCCAUGGCGGAGCUGGUUCGCAACCCGAGCAAGAUGCAAAAACUGCAAGACCAAGUGAGAAGCGUAGCCGGCGGCGGAGGCAAAAUGGUGAAAGAGGAAGAACUUUGCCAGAUGCCCUACUUGAAGGCCGUCAUCAAGGAGACCUUCCGGCUGCAUCCCCCCAUUCCAUUACUUCUACCGCGAGAACUGCUGGACGAUUGCCCGGUUCAAGGCUACAACAUCCAGAAGAAGACGAGACUGUUCGUUAAUGCAUGGGCGAUGGGCAGAGAUCCGAAGUGCUGGGAAGCGCCCUUUGAGUUCCAGCCGGAGAGGUUCAUGGACGGCGAAGUUGACUUCACCGGGAAUGACCUCCGGUUCAUUCCGUUUGGAGCGGGCCGAAGGAUUUGCCCUGGAUUGAACUUCGCCGUGGCAUCUCUGGAGCUUGCUCUGGCGAACUUGGUGCAUCGGUAUGAUUGGGAGCUGCCUGUUGGAUUGAGCAGGGAGGAGUUCGGCAUGGAGGAGGUGGCGGGCUUAAUGGUCCAGCGAGAAGGGCGACUCAAUGUCGUUGCCAAAACGUGGGAUGGAUAGAAUUAACUCAUAUUCUACGUCAACAAUGAAUUGGUGAAACCUGAUGCUUCGAGUCAGUUCAAUGUACACUUGGCUCUGAGCGCUUGAGGGCUCCGCUUGAAUCCGAGUUAUAGAGACUGAGGUGGAGAACAUCAUCUUAAUGGCAGCUGCAGAUGCUAAGUUGCUAAUGGUUCUAUGGUAUCAGAGCUUGAAAGGAGUCUUGCUGAGGCUGAUAUGUAGGACGACGACGUGUUAGCUGUUGUUGCCUGUGAGGAAGUUGUGUGCGAAGUCUACUACUCCCGAACUCGCUGAAGGACAUCUUGUGACAAAAGACGUAACCGUCGUAAGACGCAAGAGGCGCAGCAGGGAGAAGUUGAGUCCUCGAGGUGAAGGCUUGAGUGUCAGCUCGUCGUAGCAGGAAGUAGCCACAGCUGCCCGAGCAAGUUGCUGCAUCGAAGCGCAAGUUCGCUCUGCUCACUGCCUCAACACCAUCUCUAAUCAAGAAUCUUUAGUAGGAAUGGAAGGAUCCUACUAUUAUUGCUCGGAUGGUGAAGAACAACAUGGUUUCUAUGAUUACACGGGAGACUCCUCCGGUCCAACGAACAUCAAGGUCUGGAGCGACUCAGACUACAACGAGGGAAGAAGUGAAGGCCACUUCUACUAUCCUUACGAGGGCUCGUCUUCUCCGCAAUCACCAGUCUUGGGUUUUGUGUAAAUGAAGCGUCUACACCUUCAUCUGACGAAGCACAGUCACAACCCGACUAUCCUUGCCAGCACGCUUCAGCGACCGAAUCAGCUGGUUCCCGACACUCUGAUCCUGGCGAAAAUCACACCUCAUCCGAAUGGGAAACGGACGAUGGUACCGGCUCAGCGGCUAGCAACACAUCAGGUAAUACUUGUACUAGUUCCGCUGACCAAACUGACUCCUGCAGGAACUCCUCAAAUGCAACAUUAACAUCCUCGUGGGACACUGCAUCAACGGACGAGUCAGCGUCUUCAUGGGAGACAGCUAUGACCUGCUCCUGUGAGGCAGUUGAUGAGUCUGUAGCAUGCCAACGCUGCCGACAGGCUGAAGAAGCUCAGAGACGGGACGAUGAGCCGCCUCAGGAUUGAAAGGAUGUCCCAUCAUUUUUCGGAAGGUGGUGGGGGAAAGUGGUGACCUAGCGGCAUCGCCGCCUUCGCUGCGUCUUCCAAGAGCGCCACUGCCACGACGACCGAGUCCGUAUUUCUGGCGCUGGAAGAGCAUGAUGAGCUCCAGCGUAGGGCGAUGCCUGGAGACGAAGAAGAAGCUGGCCGAGCAGAAACAGGCCCGUGGGCCUUGUACUGUUCAGAAAGCUAUCUCGGCCCCUGCUGCAAAUCCAAUCGUGACCCAUAAUUCAAGCCUGGCCAGAAACAAAGCCUGCACAGGCGAAGCCGAGAAGACGGUGCUUCCGUUGGAAGACUGUUCAGAAGAGACUACGGAGAGCUACCGCGACACACAUCGUGAAGAUUGGUAACGGAGUUGCUGGUCCAUCAGGUAAGAACUAGCGGAGCGUGGUGGACCCAGGUUAUUCGCCCGUUCCUUUGUCUGUGUCGGCCGAUGUUGGCCAGUGUCUUGUAACGUGGCUGAGUCAGCUAUGAAUCUUUUCCUUUUGUCGUGUCGAACAGUGUGCCUGAAAAGCACCCAAAGGUGGUCGUCCAUAUGCCAUACUGUUCAACAGGGGUCCACUUGAAUUCCUGGUUUUGGUAAACCAACAGCGGGCUCAUGGUUUUGAGCCCAAGAUUUUGCAAAAGUGGCGCUGCCCCGCCACUUUGUCUAGACUUAGUGGAGAAGAAAGCAUCUCUGCAUGCGAUGA
Molecule: RNA transcript, 3459 nt
Organism: Zingiber officinale
Lineage: Eukaryota; Viridiplantae; Streptophyta; Magnoliopsida; Zingiberales; Zingiberaceae
Gene name: cytochrome P450 71A1-like
Exons: 3
Source: RefSeq, a predicted model, not a curated record